UAUCUAAUAAUGGUAAAAUGUGAUUUAUUAAGUAAAACCUUAGUUUUAUUUGACUUGGCCUAGCGUCUUGUCAAUGACACGACUUUUUGAAGUGACUCAUUUGGCAGGUUACAAGUGAAUCAUUGAAUCACCAACUGAACCGAGUCGUUCAAAACACUCGAUCUGAUUCGAUCUGUGAGGAAACACAUCUCAUUUGGGCUCGUUAUAAUUUUCUUUGUAGGAGGAAAAACAGACAACUGUAACUGGAAAUGUGGUGUGCAUACAUUUGAAUCCCAAAAUAAAUUUUACAGUGGUCUCUGUGGGACAGUCAAGGUUCAGUCACAGGCUCAUAGACGUCACUAAACAGAUCCUGCUGUGCUGCUCUCACUGUGGAUGACUGCCAAGUGCCGUGGAGUUUGAACACUAAUUGGGCCAAGACGUGCGACUCUCCUGUGACGUACAUGAUGGGAGUCAAAUCAAUGAGAUGAGGCUGAAUCAAUGAGAUGUCAGUGUUGUCUUAUCAUUGCCUUUUGAAGCUUAAUGAUGAUCUCGCAGCUGCAGGUUAUAAUUUGACCAGACAAAAUAAAGGGGAGACGACAAAGCUGAGAAAUGAAACCCAACAUCGUGCUGAGUGAAAGAAGAAGGUUGCUCACCUCCGAUUUUCCAAAAACCAAUUUCCAAUCUACUUAUUCUGCUCUCGCACAGUAUGAGUCAUCUAACACACGGAGCAGCGCAGCUCCAACUGUAUUCUCUAUGGGGCAGGAAACAUCAUUUAAUUUCAGCAUUUUUGCUGAAAAACUGCUGAUGUAUAUUUCUGCCUCUUUACCUCUGCUUUCACCUUCUCAGGUUCAUGAUUCAUGCUUGGUUUUUGCAUUUUAAAAAAGGUACAAAGUCAAUUAUAUUUAGCCCAAACAGUCACAUUAACAGUCAUUAAAGUGUGAAAAGUAAUUAAACACUAAUUUGAGAGCAUUUGCAGUGAGUGCUCUUGUUGUCAGAUGUUCUGCUUUAGAUCAUCUCCUCACUGUAUUGUUGUGGACAGGACCGUUCAUAGUCAGCACCUCUCUAAGCUUAGGAACAGUUAAUUGAUUAGCCAUGCCACCUACUCCCUCUGAGCCCUCUCUCUAAAGAUAAGUGUCGUCUCUGAAAUCGAACCCUCUGCCUGGCAUGCUUCCGUCUGAUUAGCUGCCUGAACAAUUAUCUUAAUCGUGUCAUCUUAACAAACCCCCGCGAUAAGCCGCCUUGGGGCCAGUAAUCCAGAAGACCUUCGCCUACACGGCAAACUGUCCCUUAUCUCUCUUCAUAAUAAAGAUGAAUUAAGUUGAGGAAAAGACAACAUAAAGUUCCCAUUGCGGGUGUUUACGCGUCUUUGUUAGUGACAGUUGAUAGUUUAUCAAAUUAAGACAUUAGGAGUCAAAUCAUCAUGACUUAACAGCAUUUAAUGUGUGGAAAAACAAUGUUAGAAAAAACUAGUUAAGUAAUGAUGAGUGCAUAGCUAGCUUGCAGUGCACAAAAUAGCCAACC
Long non-coding RNA from Carassius auratus (goldfish), 1500 nucleotides. RefSeq lists it as uncharacterized. Lineage: Eukaryota; Metazoa; Chordata; Actinopteri; Cypriniformes; Cyprinidae. The transcript is spliced from 4 exons. The record is from RefSeq and is a predicted model, not a curated record.